This 237-nucleotide small RNA is filed under the name Nostoc punctiforme PCC 73102. RNAcentral describes it as "c-di-AMP riboswitch aptamer (ydaO/yuaA leader)". It matches the Rfam family "c-di-AMP riboswitch aptamer (ydaO/yuaA leader)". From Rfam's summary of the family: This family represents a conserved RNA structure found upstream of the ydaO and yuaA genes in Bacillus subtilis and related genes in other bacteria. The ydaO/yuaA element is thought to act as a genetic "off" switch for the ydaO and yuaA genes in its native state. The record is from Rfam by way of RNAcentral. Lineage: Bacteria; Bacillati; Cyanobacteriota; Cyanophyceae; Nostocales; Nostocaceae. RNAcentral also lists the same sequence under 1 other name.
AGAGUAAGUCAGCCUAAUUCAGCGUGUCACAGUGCAUAACGCUGGAGCGGAGGAACCAAAUUGUGGGGCGUAUCUCAUAGAAAGUGAGGAGUUAAAAGUGAGAAGUGAAGAGUUAACUCAGCACGGGCUAAACGCCCCGCUACCGCUAACAGCACUCGUUACUCAGCACUCUAAAAAGAAGGGCAUCUCUCAGCCCUAGCCCGUCAGCUAACUUCGUAGGCAUUGGGAGGAGACUGA